This is a transfer RNA of 72 nucleotides. It matches the Rfam family "tRNA". Rfam says of the family: Transfer RNA (tRNA) molecules are approximately 80 nucleotides in length. Their secondary structure includes four short double-helical elements and three loops (D, anti-codon, and T loops).
CGGCCCGUAGCUCAAUGGCGGAGCACGGAGCUUAUACCUCCGGGGUUGUAGGUUCGAAUCCUACCGGGCCGA